Molecule: unclassified non-coding RNA, 323 nt
Filed under: soil metagenome
Description: partial contains 5.8S ribosomal RNA, internal transcribed spacer 2, and large subunit ribosomal RNA
Rfam family: 5.8S ribosomal RNA (bases 1-120)
Source: RNAcentral
GAUGAAGAACGCAGCGAAAUGCGAUAAGUAGUGUGAAUUGCAGAAUUCAGUGAAUCAUCGAAUCUUUGAACGCACAUUGCGCCCCUUGGUAUUCCAUGGGGCAUGCCUGUUCGAGCGUCAUUUGUACCUUCAAGCUUUGCUUGGUGUUGGGUGUUUGUCCUGAGGGACUCGCCUUAAAGUAAUUGGCAGCCAGUGUUUGGUUUUGAAGCGCAGCACAAGUCGCGAUUCAAGGCUAUUCACCAGCUUCCACAAGCCUUUUUCACUUUUGACCUCGGAUCAGGUAGGGAUACCCGCUGAACUUAAGCAUAUCAAUAAGCGGAGGA